GGGAUUGUAGUAUAGCCUGGUUAGUAUCGGUGCUUAGGGAGCAUCAGACCCCGGUUCAAAUCCGGGCAGUCCCA
This 74-nucleotide transfer RNA is filed under the name Candidatus Pacearchaeota archaeon CG10_big_fil_rev_8_21_14_0_10_35_13. RNAcentral describes it as "tRNA-Pro". It matches the Rfam family "tRNA". Rfam says of the family: Transfer RNA (tRNA) molecules are approximately 80 nucleotides in length. Their secondary structure includes four short double-helical elements and three loops (D, anti-codon, and T loops). Further hydrogen bonds mediate the characteristic L-shaped molecular structure. tRNAs have two regions of fundamental functional importance: the anti-codon, which is responsible for specific mRNA codon recognition, and the 3' end, to which the tRNAs corresponding amino acid is attached (by aminoacyl-tRNA synthetases). tRNAs cope with the degeneracy of the genetic code in two manners: having more than one tRNA (with a specific anti-codon) for a particular amino acid; and 'wobble' base-pairing, i.e. permitting non-standard base-pairing at the 3rd anti-codon position. The record is from RNAcentral. Lineage: Archaea; Nanobdellati.